This 680-nucleotide ribosomal RNA is filed under the name Staphylococcus haemolyticus. RNAcentral's name for it is "bacterial SSU rRNA". It matches the Rfam family "Bacterial small subunit ribosomal RNA", at positions 199 to 865 of the family's 1533-position model. The record is from RNAcentral. Lineage: Bacteria; Bacillati; Bacillota; Bacilli; Caryophanales; Staphylococcaceae.
AGUGAAAGAUGGUUUUUGCUAUCACUUAUAGAUGGACCCGCGCCGUAUUAGCUAGUUGGUAAGGUUUUGGCUUACCAAGGCGACGAUAAGUAGCCGACUCGAGAGGGUGAUCGGCCACACUGGAACUGAGACACGGUCCAGACUCCUACGGGAGGCAGCAGUAGGGAAUCUUCCGCAAUGGGCGAAAGCCUGACGGAGCAACGCCGCGUGAGUGAUGAAGGUCUUCGGAUCGUAAAACUCUGUUAUUAGGGAAGAACAUACGUGUAAGUAACUAUGCACGUCUUGACGGUACCUAAUCAGAAAGCCACGGCUAACUACGUGCCAGCAGCCGCGGUAAUACGUAGGUGGCAAGCGUUAUCCGGAAUUAUUGGGCGUAAAGCGCGCGUAGGCGGUUUUUUAAGUCUGAUGUGAAAGCCCACGGCUCAACCGUGGAGGGUCAUUGGAAACUGGAAAACUUGAGUGCAGAAGAGGAAAGUGGAAUUCCAUGUGUAGCGGUGAAAUGCGCAGAGAUAUGGAGGAACACCAGUGGCGAAGGCGACUUUCUGGUCUGUAACUGACGCUGAUGUGCGAAAGCGUGGGGAUCAAACAGGAUUAGAUACCCUGGUAGUCCACGCCGUAAACGAUGAGUGCUAAGUGUUAGGGGGUUUCCGCCCCUUAGUGCUGCAGCUAACGCAUUAAGC